GCCCUAAUAGCUCAAUGGUAGAGCACACGGCUGUUAACCGUGGUGUUACAGGUUCGAGCCCUGUUUGGGGCG
This 72-nucleotide transfer RNA is filed under the name Bacillota bacterium. RNAcentral's name for it is "tRNA-Asn". It matches the Rfam family "tRNA". Rfam says of the family: Transfer RNA (tRNA) molecules are approximately 80 nucleotides in length. Their secondary structure includes four short double-helical elements and three loops (D, anti-codon, and T loops). Further hydrogen bonds mediate the characteristic L-shaped molecular structure. tRNAs have two regions of fundamental functional importance: the anti-codon, which is responsible for specific mRNA codon recognition, and the 3' end, to which the tRNAs corresponding amino acid is attached (by aminoacyl-tRNA synthetases). tRNAs cope with the degeneracy of the genetic code in two manners: having more than one tRNA (with a specific anti-codon) for a particular amino acid; and 'wobble' base-pairing, i.e. permitting non-standard base-pairing at the 3rd anti-codon position. Lineage: Bacteria; Bacillati; Bacillota. The record is from RNAcentral. RNAcentral also lists the same sequence under 12 other names.